AUGAGGGUGCUGAGGCAUCAUCAUCAUCAAGACUACUGCGCCUGCGUCCAGCACGCCAACGCCCCCACCAAAGCUCAACACAGCUCUGUGACAACAGUAGCGCAUGUCCAACAAUUCUUGAACGAGUGGAAGAUCCAAUGCUUGGUGUUGGUGAGCCUCUCCCUGCAAGUCUUCCUCCUCUUCUCGGCAGGCUUCCGGAAGCACCACAUCUCUCACGUGCUCAGCAUGUUGUUAUGGCUGGCCUAUCUGUCGGCUGACUCCAUAGCGGUCUACAUCCUCGGCCACCUCACGCUCCACACCAGCGAGGACGACCCGCGUCACCAGCUGGUGCUUUUUUGGGCGCCCUUCCUGCUGCUACACCUUGGCGGGCAAGAUACUAUCACCGCCUUCUCCAUGGAGGACUGCUCUCUGUGGAAGCGGCAUCUGCUAAACCUGACAACCCAGUUGGCCAUGGCCAUCUACGUUGUGGGCGAGCAGUUGUGA
This 483-nucleotide ribosomal RNA is filed under the name Triticum aestivum (bread wheat). RNAcentral describes it as "partial small subunit ribosomal RNA". The record is from RNAcentral. Lineage: Eukaryota; Viridiplantae; Streptophyta; Magnoliopsida; Poales; Poaceae.